AUGGUCGCCACGGCGAAGAUCCCGCAGCGGCAGCUCUUCAUCGACGGCGACUGGCGCGCGCCCGCGCUCGGCCGCCGCCUCCCCGUCAUCAACCCCACCACCGAGGCCUCCAUCGGCGAGAUCCCGGCGGGCACCUCGGAGGACGUGGACGCGGCGGUGGCGGCCGCGCGGGCGGCCCUCAAGAGGAACCGCGGCCGCGACUGGUCCCGCGCGCCCGGCGCCGUCCGGGCCAAGUACCUCCGCGCAAUCGCCGCCAAGAUGGUUGAGCGGAAAUCUGAUCUGGCUAGGCUAGAGGCACUUGAUUGCGGGAAGCCUCUUGAUGAAGCGGCAUGGGACAUGGACGAUGUUGCCGGCUGCUUUGAGUUCUUCGCGGGUCAUGCUGAAGCCUUGGACAAAAGGCAAAAUGCUGCAGUUGCUCUCCCGGAGAAUUUUAAAUGCCAUCUUAAGAAGGAACCUAUUGGUGUAGUUGCUCUAAUCACACCUUGGAACUAUCCUCUCCUGAUGGCUGUAUGGAAGGUAGCCCCUGCUCUGGCAGCUGGUUGUACAGCUGUACUGAAGCCAUCUGAAUUAGCUUCCCUGACUUGCUUAGAGCUUGGUGAUGUGUGUAAAGAGAUUGGUCUUCCAUCAGGUGUCUUAAACAUUGUGACUGGAUUAGGUCAUGAAGCUGGCGCUCCUUUGUCGUCACACCCUGAUGUCGACAAGGUUGCAUUUACCGGGAGCUAUGCAACCGGUCAAAAGAUUAUGGUUGCUGCAGCUCCUACAGUCAAGCCUGUUACAUUGGAACUUGGCGGCAAAAGUCCUAUUGUAGUAUUUGAUGAUGUCGACAUUGACAAAGCUGUUGAGUGGACUCUAUUUGGGUGCUUUUGGACCAACGGUCAGAUUUGCAGUGCGACAUCUCGUCUUCUUAUCCAUAAAAAUAUCGCUAAAGAAUUCGUCGACAGGAUGGUUGCAUGGUCCAAAAAUAUCAAGGUGUCAGACCCGCUCGAGGAAGGUUGCAGGCUUGGGCCAGUUGUUAGUGAAGGACAGUAUGAGAAGAUCAAGAAGUUUGUAGCGAAUGCUAAAAGUGAAGGUGCCACCAUUCUGACUGGGGGUGUCAGGCCCAAGCAUCUGGAGAAAGGUUUCUUCAUUGAACCCACAAUCAUCACUGACAUCAACACAUCAAUGGAGAUUUGGAGGGAGGAAGUCUUUGGUCCAGUCCUCUGUGUGAAGGAAUUUUCUACCGAAGAGGAAGCCAUCGAACUGGCCAAUGAUACUCAUUAUGGUCUGGCUGGUGCCGUGAUUUCUGGUGACCGUGAGCGAUGCCAGAGAUUAGCCGAGGAGAUUGACGCGGGAUGCAUUUGGGUGAACUGCUCGCAGCCUUGCUUCUGCCAAGCUCCGUGGGGCGGGAACAAGCGCAGCGGCUUUGGGCGCGAGCUCGGAGAAGGGGGCAUUGAUAACUACCUGAGCAUCAAGCAAGUCACGGAGUACACAUCUGAUGCGCCGUGGGGAUGGUACAAAGCUCCGGCUAACUAA
Molecule: ribosomal RNA, 1512 nt
Filed under: Triticum aestivum (bread wheat)
Lineage: Eukaryota; Viridiplantae; Streptophyta; Magnoliopsida; Poales; Poaceae
Description: partial small subunit ribosomal RNA
Source: RNAcentral